GGGGCUAUAGCUCAGUGGUAGAGCACCUGCCUCGCAAGUGUGAGGAACUGGGUUCAAUCCUCAGUACCA
Non-coding RNA from Ictidomys tridecemlineatus (thirteen-lined ground squirrel), 69 nucleotides. The record is from Rfam. NCBI's taxonomy places the organism in Eukaryota, Metazoa, Chordata, Mammalia, Rodentia, Sciuridae.